RNAcentral lists this unclassified non-coding RNA (771 nucleotides) under Hevea brasiliensis (rubber tree). Lineage: Eukaryota; Viridiplantae; Streptophyta; Magnoliopsida; Malpighiales; Euphorbiaceae. The record is from RNAcentral.
CUUUAAAACCACACACCGUUUACGGAACCUUCAACUUCAAUUCCCAAACACUAAAUUUUUCGAUUUUCGCGGCUACCAAACACAUUCUAUUUUCUAGCUACCAAAUCGAUUUUCCGCUUAUUCAAAGCUAAAUUUUCUCUCUGGAUUUUAUUUGGAAUUUUGGUGCUUUCUUUUCCCGAUUUGAGGUCCAUCCACCUGCCAGAUCUUAGAUUGUCGAUAAUAUUUAGAUUUUUCGUUUUUUGAUAUGGAGGUGUCGGUGAUCGGAAGCUCUCAGGCCGCUAUUUGCAAAAGCGAAUUAGUGAAUAAAGAGUUGAGGUUCUGUUUUCCUCGAAGAAACUGUACUAAUGUGUCUUUCUUUGAUUCAAGAACGAGGUGGAGAAGAAACUCUGGCCUUCACUUUACCUUAAAUGCGAUCCAAACAGAACCCGUCCUCUCCGAUGAUCUCUCGACUCGGGGUUGUGCUUCCAGGUCCAAAUCGCUCGAUGAUGUAAGAUUAUAUGUUGGACUGCCCUUGGAUGCAGUUUCUGACUGCAAUUCGAUCAACCAUGCUAGAGCAAUCUCUGUAGGACUUAAAGCUUUGAAAUUAUUAGGAGUUGAAGGUGUGGAGAUGGCUGUGUGGUGGGGAAUAGCUGAGAAGGAAGCAAUGGGCAAAUACGAGUGGGAAGGCUACCUUAAUCUUGCAAAGAUGGUUCAGAGUGCUGGUCUCAAACUUCAUGUGUCUUUCUGCUUCCACGCUAAUGAACAACCUAAAAUCCCACUCCCUGAGUGGGU